This 557-nucleotide ribosomal RNA is filed under the name uncultured bacterium. RNAcentral's name for it is "bacterial SSU rRNA". It matches the Rfam family "Bacterial small subunit ribosomal RNA", at positions 342 to 912 of the family's 1533-position model. The record is from RNAcentral.
CGGGAGGCAGCAGCAGGGAAUAUUGUGCAAUGAACGAAAGUUUGACACAGCGACACCGCGUGUGGGAUGACGGAUCUAGGUUUGUAAACCACUUUCAGGAGGGAAGAAAAUGACGGUACCUCCAUAAGAAGCCCCGGCCAACUACGUGCCAGCAGCCGCGGUAAUACGUAGGGGGCGAGCGUUGUCCGGAUUUAUUGGGCGUAAAGAGCUCGUAGGCGGUUCAACAAGUCGGUCGUGAAAGUUCAGGGCUCAACCCUGAAAUGUCGAUCGAUACUGUUGUGACUAGGAUACGGUAGAGGUGAGUGGAAUUCCGAGUGUAGCGGUGAAAUGCGUAGAUAUUCGGAGGAACACCAAUAGCGAAGGCAGCUCACUGGGCCGCUAUCGACGCUGAGGAGCGAAAGCUAGGGGAGCAAACAGGAUUAGAUACCCUGGUAGUCCUAGCUGUAAACGAUGGAUACUAGACGUAGGAACUGGAUUGACGGUUUCUGUGUCGCAGCUAACGCGUUAAGUAUCCCGCCUGGGGAGUACGGUCGCAAGACUAAAACUCAAAGGAAUUG